AUACGGAGGAUCCAAGCGUUAUCCGGAAUCAUUGGGUUUAAAGGGUCCGUAGGCGGUUUUAUAAGUCAGUGGUGAAAUCCGGUAGCUCAACUAUCGAACUGCCAUUGAUACUGUAGAACUUGAAUUAUUGUGAAGUAACUAGAAUAUGUAGUGUAGCGGUGAAAUGCUUAGAUAUUACAUGGAAUACCAAUUGCGAAGGCAGGUUACUAACAAUACAUUGACGCUGAUGGACGAAAGCGUGGGGAGCGAACAGGAUUAGAUACCCUGGUAGUCCACGCCGUAAACGAUGGAUACUAGCUGUUCGGUAGCAAUACUGAGUGGCUAAGCGAAAGUGAUAAGUAUCCCACCUGGGGAGUACGAACGCAAGUUUGAA
Molecule: ribosomal RNA, 373 nt
Filed under: uncultured bacterium
Lineage: Bacteria
Description: bacterial SSU rRNA
Rfam family: Bacterial small subunit ribosomal RNA
Source: RNAcentral